RNAcentral lists this ribosomal RNA (495 nucleotides) under uncultured bacterium. RNAcentral describes it as "partial 16S ribosomal RNA". It matches the Rfam family "Bacterial small subunit ribosomal RNA", at positions 28 to 507 of the family's 1533-position model. The record is from RNAcentral.
GACGAACGCUGGCGGCGUGCCUAAUACAUGCAAGUAGAACGCUGAAGGAGGAGCUUGCUUCUCUGGAUGAGUUGCGAACGGGUGAGUAACGCGUAGGUAACCUGCCUGGUAGUGGGGGAUAACUAUUGGAAACGAUAGCUAAUACCGCAUAAUAGCAGUUGUUGCAUGAUAACUGUUUGAAAGGUGCAAUUGCACCGCUACCAGAUGGACCUGCGUUGUAUUAGCUAGUUGGUGGGGUAACGGCUCACCAAGGCGACGAUACAUAGCCGACCUGAGAGGGUGAUCGGCCACACUGGGACUGAGACACGGCCCAGACUCCUACGGGAGGCAGCAGUAGGGAAUCUUCGGCAAUGGACGGAAGUCUGACCGAGCAACGCCGCGUGAGUGAAGAAGGUUGUCGGAUCGUAAAGCUCUGUUGUAAGAGAAGAACGAGUGUGAGAGUGGAAAGUUCACACUGUGACGGUAUCUGACCAGAAAGGGACGGCUAACUACGUG